Molecule: unclassified non-coding RNA, 541 nt
Filed under: Athalia rosae (coleseed sawfly)
Lineage: Eukaryota; Metazoa; Arthropoda; Insecta; Hymenoptera; Athaliidae
Description: misc RNA ENSAEAG00005000836.1
Source: RNAcentral
UAGAUUUGGUAUAUCAAGAUUAUGAAUGUAUACGAGAAUUGUAGAGUAUUUAAAAAAUAGAGAACUUCAUCUGUAAAUUUUAAUCGAGUGAUAAUUUGCAGGUAAAAAUUGAAUUGGGUAUCAGGUUAAUUAAAUAUUUAAGAUAUUCGGUAGUAAAAUAAUUGAACGAAGGCUCCAGACAACCGAAAGACGCCAUAGCUACAAAUGGCAUCACCCGUAUGCGUUUGGUGAAUAUAGUAUAUUUAACGUAUGAAUUAAUAUCUCUGUUAGUAAGUUAUACAUCUACAAAAUAAAAUGGUGGGAAAACGUAGACUGGACUCACCUCGGAUUUUCGUUGCGAGACAAAGGCCUGCGCGCGGGACGGGAAUUACGAGAGAACGCAGUUGUUGGGAACCGGGAACGCUUUAGCUCCGUGACGUUCGCGUACCAAGAGAAGAGAAUGACUGCGAGGUUUCUGGAUUGCGACCGUUUAUACACCCGCCAUCAUUGCAACAACGCACCGACCUCCUCGGAUCGAUUUGCUGCUUAGCUCUGUUACCCC